Tupaia belangeri (northern tree shrew) is the source of this 109-nucleotide small nuclear RNA. The record is from Ensembl. Lineage: Eukaryota; Metazoa; Chordata; Mammalia; Scandentia; Tupaiidae.
UUGCCCACUUCAGAAGCACAUAUAUUAAAACUAGAAAGAUACAAAGAUUAGCACGGCCCCUACAUAAGAAUGAGAUGACAUGCAAACCUGUGAAGUGUUGCAUAUUUUU